This 1080-nucleotide ribosomal RNA is filed under the name uncultured organism. RNAcentral's name for it is "bacterial SSU rRNA". It matches the Rfam family "Bacterial small subunit ribosomal RNA", at positions 369 to 1429 of the family's 1533-position model. The record is from RNAcentral.
CAAUGGGCGCAAGCCUGAUCCAAGCGACGCCGCGUGUAGGAUGAAGUCCUUCGGGGAUGUAAACUACUGUCAGGGACCACCCAAGUAAAUCGGGGCUAAUAUCCCCGUGCGCUGAGGAAUCCCAGAGGAAGUCACAGCUAACUUCGUGCCAGCAGCCGCGGUAAGACGAAGGUGGCGAGCGUUGUUCGGAAUCACUGGGCUUAAAGAGUAUGUAGGCGGAUGAUCAAGCGUUUUGUGAAAGCCCUCGGCUCAACCGAGGAAUCGCUUGGCGAACUGGUCAUCUUGAGGCAGGUAGGGGCAACUGGAACUCUUGGUGGACCGGUGGAAUGCGUAGAUAUCAAGAGGAACGCCAAAGGCGAAGGCAAGUUGCUGGGCCUGUCCUGACGCUGAGAUACGAAAGCCGGGGGAGCGAACGGGAUUAGAUACCCCGGUAGUCCUGGCCCUAAACGAUGUCCACUAGAUCGGAGAUUCUCUGACGGAUUUCUGGUCGAAAUGAAAACGAUAAGUGGACCGCCUGGGGAGUACGGCCGCAAGGCUAAAACUCAAAGGAAUUGACGGGGGCUCACACAAGCGGUGGAGCAUGUUGCUUAAUUCGAUGCAACGCGAAGAACCUUAUCCUGGGCUUGACAUGACCGGAUGCCCCCCUGGAAACAGGGUUCGGUUGCCCUUCGGGGUGAAACGGUCACAGGUGCUGCAUGGCUGUCGUCAGCUCGUGUCGUGAGAUGUUGGGUUAAGUCCCGUAACGAGCGAAACCCUUGUCGUUAGUUGCCAGCGGGUCAUGCCGGGGACUCUAACGAGACUGCCGGUGUCAAACCGGAGGAAGGUGGGGAUGACGUCAAGUCCUCAUGGCCUUUAUGCCCAGGGCUGCAAACGUGCUACAAUGGCCGGUACAAAGCGACGCAAGACCGCGAGGUGGAGCAAAUCGCAAAAAGCCGGCCUCAGUUCGGAUUGGAGUCUGUAACUCGACUCCAUGAAGUCGGAAUCGCUAGUAAUCGCGUAUCAGCUUGACGCGGUGAAUGAGUUCCUGAGCAUUGUACACACCGCCCGUCAAGUCAUGGAAGCCGGGAGUACCCGUAGUCG